CACGCUCUGUUUACACAUCCACUCACACCUGUGCACCCUCUGUAGUUCUAUGGCCUUGAGGACCCUGUCCCCUUGCCGUGGUCCUACGUCUUUACACACACGCCGUAACAAAGUCUCAUGGAGUGUAUGUCGCGUUUAACGCAAUACAAUACAACUUUCAGCAACGGAUCUCUUGGCUCUCGCAUCGAUGAAGAACGCAGCGAAAUGCGAUAAGUAAUGUGAAUUGCAGAAUUCAGUGAAUCAUCNAAUCUUUGAACGCACCUUGCGCCCUUUGGCUAUUCUGAAGGGCAUGCCUGUUUGAGUAUCAUGAACACCUCAACUCUCACGGUCCACCGUGAUGAGCNUGGACUUUUGGGGGUCUUGCUGGCCUAGCGUCGGCUCCUCUCAAAUGGAUCAGCUUGCCAGUGUUUGGUGGCAUCACAGGUGUGAUAACUAUCUACGCUUGUGGUUCCCCACCACGUAACCUUCACGAUGGAGGUUCGCUGGAGCUCACACAUGUCUCUCCUCAGCGAGGACAGCUUUUUGAACGUUUGAUCUC
This 538-nucleotide ribosomal RNA is filed under the name uncultured Thelephoraceae. RNAcentral's name for it is "eukaryotic LSU rRNA". The stretch from base 153 to 307 matches the Rfam family "5.8S ribosomal RNA". The record is from RNAcentral. Lineage: Eukaryota; Fungi; Basidiomycota; Agaricomycetes; Thelephorales; Thelephoraceae.